Molecule: unclassified non-coding RNA, 232 nt
Filed under: Hevea brasiliensis (rubber tree)
Lineage: Eukaryota; Viridiplantae; Streptophyta; Magnoliopsida; Malpighiales; Euphorbiaceae
Source: RNAcentral
GUGACUCCAACUUUGUCAACCCUGUAGUAUAAUGACAGAUCCCAUAAAGAUUAAUUAAAAAUUGAAAUAUUAACACAUUCACUAGGUAAUAUUGCAGCUUGAAAGCUCCAAGUUCAAGCUUCACCAUCUUAAAUUCUUCAAUUAUAUCACACACAACAAGUACACAUGCAAGAAUAGAUAAAUGUAAUGACUCUACAUAAAUACUUACAGCUGCAACUGUGUCAGUCCAAAC